This 432-nucleotide ribosomal RNA is filed under the name uncultured bacterium. RNAcentral's name for it is "partial 16S ribosomal RNA". It matches the Rfam family "Bacterial small subunit ribosomal RNA", at positions 29 to 506 of the family's 1533-position model. The record is from RNAcentral.
AACGAACGCUGGCGGCAGGCCUAACACAUGCAAGUCGAGCGAGACCUUCGGGUCUAGCGGCGGACGGGUGAGUAACGCGUGGGAACGUGCCCUUUUCUGCGGAAUAGCCUCGGGAAACUGAGCGUAAUACCGCAUACGCCCUUUGGGGGAAAGAUUUAUCGGAAAAGGAUCGGCCCGCGUUGGAUUAGGUAGUUGGUGGGGUAAUGGCCUACCAAGCCUACGAUCCAUAGCUGGUUUGAGAGGAUGAUCAGCCACACUGGGACUGAGACACGGCCCAGACUCCUACGGGAGGCAGCAGUGGGGAAUCUUAGACAAUGGGGGCAACCCUGAUCUAGCCAUGCCGCGUGAGUGAUGAAGGCCUUAGGGUUGUAAAGCUCUUUCAGCUGGGAAGAUAAUGACGGUACCAGCAGAAGAAGCCCCGGCUAACUCCGU